RNAcentral lists this transfer RNA (76 nucleotides) under Chloroflexi bacterium HGW-Chloroflexi-6. RNAcentral's name for it is "tRNA-Asn". It matches the Rfam family "tRNA". From Rfam's summary of the family: Transfer RNA (tRNA) molecules are approximately 80 nucleotides in length. Their secondary structure includes four short double-helical elements and three loops (D, anti-codon, and T loops). The record is from RNAcentral. Lineage: Bacteria; Bacillati; Chloroflexota.
UCCUCGUUAGCUCAAUCGGCAGAGCGAGCGGCUGUUAACCGCUAGGUUCGUGGUUCGAGUCCACGACGAGGAGCCU